Molecule: non-coding RNA, 30 nt
Filed under: Rattus norvegicus (Norway rat)
Lineage: Eukaryota; Metazoa; Chordata; Mammalia; Rodentia; Muridae
Source: RNAcentral
UGAUGAUUGGGUAUUACAUUAGCCUCCCUA